GGAGAUUUUUCACAUGGAUCUCUGUUUCUUAAGGUCACCGAGUAACUGUCGGUACGAAAACCCCCCAGAAAACAAUUGGUUCAAGCUAGCUUGAGUUGCUG
Alosa sapidissima (American shad) is the source of this 101-nucleotide long non-coding RNA. RefSeq lists it as uncharacterized. Lineage: Eukaryota; Metazoa; Chordata; Actinopteri; Clupeiformes; Clupeidae. The transcript is spliced from 3 exons. The record is from RefSeq and is a predicted model, not a curated record.